AGUGAUGUAUUCAACGAGUUUAUAGCCUUGGCGAACAGGCCCGGGUAAUCUCUGAAAUUUCAUCGUGAUGGGGAUAGAUCAUUGCAAUUCUUGGUCUUCAAU
RNAcentral lists this non-coding RNA (102 nucleotides) under Capsicum annuum. Its description in RNAcentral is "Eukaryotic small subunit ribosomal RNA". It matches the Rfam family "Eukaryotic small subunit ribosomal RNA", at positions 1502 to 1604 of the family's 1831-position model. The record is from Rfam by way of RNAcentral. Lineage: Eukaryota; Viridiplantae; Streptophyta; Magnoliopsida; Solanales; Solanaceae.